CCUACGGGAGGCAGCAGUGGGGAAUAUUGGGCAAUGGGCGGAAGCCUGACCCAGCAACGCCGCGUGAAGGAAGAAGGCCCUCGGGUUGUAAACUUCUUUUCUAUAGGACGAAGAAGUGACGGUACUAUAGGAAUAAGCCACGGCUAACUACGUGCCAGCAGCCGCGGUAAUACGUAGGUGGCGAGCGUUAUCCGGAUUUACUGGGUGUAAAGGGCGUGUAGGCGGGACUGCAAGUCAGAUGUGAAAAUUAUGGGCUCAACCCAUAACCUGCAUUUGAAACUGUAGUUCUUGAGUGAUGGAGAGGCAGGCGGAAUUCCGUGUGUAGCGGUGAAAUGCGUAGAUAUACGGAGGAACACCAGUGGCGAAGGCGGCCUGCUGGACAUUAACUGACGCUGAGGCGCGAAAGCGUGGGGAGCAAACAGGAUUAGAUACCCCUGUAGUC
This 442-nucleotide ribosomal RNA is filed under the name uncultured bacterium. RNAcentral's name for it is "partial 16S ribosomal RNA". It matches the Rfam family "Bacterial small subunit ribosomal RNA", at positions 338 to 795 of the family's 1533-position model. The record is from RNAcentral.